UAACGGCGAGUGAAGCGGCAAAAGCUCAAAUUUGAAAUCUGGUACCUUCGGUGCCCGAGUUGUAAUUUGGAGAGGGCAACUUUGGGGCCGUUCCUUGUCUAUGUUCCUUGGAACAGGACGUCAUAGAGGGUGAGAAUCCCGUGUGGCGAGGAGUGCGGUUCUUUGUAAAGUGCCUUCGAAGAGUCGAGUUGUUUGGGAAUGCAGCUCUAAGUGGGUGGUAAAUUCCAUCUAAAGCUAAAUAUUGGCGAGAGACCGAUAGCGAACAAGUACAGUGAUGGAAAGAUGAAAAGAACUUUGAAAAGAGAGUGAAAAAGUACGUGAAAUUGUUGAAAGGGAAGGGCAUUUGAUCAGACAUGGUGUUUUGUGCCCUCUGCUCCUUGUGGGUAGGGGAAUCUCGCAUUUCACUGGGCCAGCAUCAGUUUUGGUGGCAGGAUAAAUCCAUAGGAAUGUAGCUUGCCUCGGUAAGUAUUAUAGCCUGUGGGAAUACUGCCAGCUGGGACUGAGGACUGCGACGUAAGUCAAGGA
RNAcentral lists this ribosomal RNA (525 nucleotides) under Saccharomyces cerevisiae (brewer's yeast). RNAcentral's name for it is "partial 28S ribosomal RNA". It matches the Rfam family "Eukaryotic large subunit ribosomal RNA", at positions 84 to 612 of the family's 3401-position model. The record is from RNAcentral. Lineage: Eukaryota; Fungi; Ascomycota; Saccharomycetes; Saccharomycetales; Saccharomycetaceae.